This is a long non-coding RNA of Onychostoma macrolepis, 556 nucleotides long. RefSeq lists it as uncharacterized. The record is from RefSeq and is a predicted model, not a curated record. The transcript has 4 exons. NCBI's taxonomy places the organism in Eukaryota, Metazoa, Chordata, Actinopteri, Cypriniformes, Cyprinidae.
UUGUGUUGUAGUUUGUUAGGAUGUCGUUCCUGAAAAGUGUGUUAGUGCUGGUUGUGAUUGCUGCCAUUGACCUGAAGAAUGCAUGGGGAAGUGUGAGAUCUACAUAACCUGUGUUCUGAAGGCCACUCUUGCUUCUGUACCCAGUGAUGCUAGGCGGAAGUCAUGCUCCUUUGCCAAUGGGUGAUGUUUGGAAUCCCAGCCGAUGAAAUCUGUUGGUUGAUCGCUUACACAACAUCUCAGGUGACACAGAUACCUGCUCAUCCGCGCCCAAGAGUGGAUAAACAAGUCUUUGGGCUCACAUUAAAACGUUAGACUAAGAACCGUGAGUUUAUCAUUUAUUCACUGUAUUUAUUGAAUUUGUGUGUCUUAAAUGGCCUCUAUUAAUCUGAUUCAUGCAUUUGAGUUGCUGAUGCAGUGAACACUGAAUGAAACUGUGUAAGUUCCUCUAAAAAUAAAUUGCACAAUCCAGAAGACACCUGAUCAAUGCAUGUUAAAACAUGUGAGUUUCAAUAUAAAUGUCCUGAUUAUGCUGUGAAAUGGAGAAGAUUUUUUUUUU